This 298-nucleotide unclassified non-coding RNA is filed under the name Itajahya rosea. RNAcentral's name for it is "partial contains 5.8S ribosomal RNA, internal transcribed spacer 2, and large subunit ribosomal RNA". Lineage: Eukaryota; Fungi; Basidiomycota; Agaricomycetes; Phallales; Phallaceae. The record is from RNAcentral.
CGCACCUUGCGCUCCUCGGCAUUCCGAGGAGCAUGCCUGUUUGAGUGUCGUGAAGUCUCAUCGAAAAUAAAAGGGGGCUUCCUUCGGGGGGAGCCCCCUUUUCUUUCGGAAUUGGACGUUCUUGCCCCCCUCUGUGUGGGGCUCGUCUUCAAAUCCAUCAGCGGAGGUCCCCCUCCAUAUGACCCUCCCAAGACGUGUGAUAAGUCUCGCGUCGUCCGGGUGAAGGGAGGGGAUCCCGCGUCAUUGUCAUUUUUAACGCUCUGACCUCAAAUCAGGCAGGAUUACCCGCUGAACUUAA